CCAGAUCUCGCGGCCUAUCAGCUUGUUGGUGGGGUAACGGCCCACCAAGGCUUCGACGGGUAGCUGGUCUGAGAGGACGAUCAGCCACACUGGGACUGAGACACGGCCCAGACUCCUACGGGAGGCAGCAGUGGGGAAUCUUGCGCAAUGGGCGAAAGCCUGACGCAGCAACGCCGCGUGGGGGAUGAAGGCUCUCGGGUUGUAAACCCCUUUCAGCAGGGACGAUAGUGACGGUACCUGCAGAAGAAGCCCCGGCCAACUACGUGCCAGCAGCCGCGGUAACACGUAGGGGGCAAGCGUUGUCCGGAUUUAUUGGGCGUAAAGAGCUCGUAGGCGGCUCAGUAAGUCAGGUGUGAAACCUCCAGGCUCAACCUGGAGACGCCACCUGAUACUGCUGUGGCUAGAGUCCGGUAGGGGAGCGUGGAAUUCCUGGUGUAGCGGUGAAAUGCGCAGAUAUCAGGAGGAACACCAGCGGCGAAGGCGGCGCUCUGGGCCGGAACUGACGCUGAGGAGCGAAAGCGUGGGUAGCAAACAGGAUUAGAUACCCUGGUAGUCCACGCCGUAAACGUUGGGCACUAGGUGUGGGUCACAACCAACGUGAUCUGUGCCGUAGCUAACGCAUUAAGUGCCCCGCCUGGGGAGUACGGAAGCUUGGAAUUCG
RNAcentral lists this ribosomal RNA (661 nucleotides) under uncultured Ferrithrix sp. Its description in RNAcentral is "bacterial SSU rRNA". It matches the Rfam family "Bacterial small subunit ribosomal RNA", at positions 224 to 903 of the family's 1533-position model. Lineage: Bacteria; Bacillati; Actinomycetota; Acidimicrobiia; Acidimicrobiales; Acidimicrobiaceae. The record is from RNAcentral.